AAACCAUGGUGGGGACAAAGUCUAAGCAUUUCCCUGAAACGCUCCCACGCAUCAUAGAAAGACUCCCCAUCUUUUUUAUUGAACCGCGUGAUUUGGUCUCUUAGUUU
RNAcentral lists this small nucleolar RNA (107 nucleotides) under Medicago truncatula (barrel medic). RNAcentral's name for it is "snoRNA gene10080". It matches the Rfam family "Plant small nucleolar RNA R71". From Rfam's summary of the family: R71 is a member of the C/D box family of snoRNAs containing the C (UGAUGA) and D (CUGA) box motifs. Multiple nearly identical copies of this snoRNA have been identified in Arabidopsis, and it is thought to function as a 2'-O-ribose methylation guide for 18S ribosomal RNA. Lineage: Eukaryota; Viridiplantae; Streptophyta; Magnoliopsida; Fabales; Fabaceae. The record is from RNAcentral.